AGAGUUUGAUCAUGGCUCAGAUUGAACGCUGGCGGCAGGCCUAACACAUGCAAGUCGAACGGUAACAGGAAGCAGCUUGCUGCUUCGCUGACGAGUGGCGGACGGGUGAGUAAUGUCUGGGAAGCUGCCUGAUGGAGGGGGAUAACUACUGGAAACGGUAGCUAAUACCGCAUAAUGUCGCAAGACCAAAGAGGGGGACCUUCGGGCCUCUUGCCAUCGGAUGUGCCCAGAUGGGAUUAGCUUGUUGGUGGGGUAACGGCUCACCAAGGCGACGAUCCCUAGCUGGUCUGAGAGGAUGACCAGCCACACUGGAACUGAGACGCGGUCCAGACUCCUACGGGAGGCAGCAGUGGGGAAUAUUGCACAAUGGGCGCAAGCCUGAUGCAGCCAUGCCGCGUGUAUGAAGAAGGCCUUCGGGUUGUAAAGUACUUUCAGCGGGGAGGAAGGGAGUAAAGUUAAUACCUUUGCUCAUUGACGUUACCCGCAGAAGAAGCACCGGCUAACUCCGUGCCAGCAGCCGCGGUAAUACGGAGGGUGCAAGCGUUAAUCGGAAUUACUGGGCGUAAAGCGCACGCAGGCGGUUUGUUAAGUCAGAUGUGAAAUCCCCGGGCUCAACCUGGGAACUGCAUCUGAUACUGGCAAGCUUGAGUCUCGUAGAGGGGGGUAGAAUUCCAGGUGUAGCGGUGAAAUGCGUAGAGAUCUGGAGGAAUACCGGUGGCGAAGGCGGCCCCCUGGACGAAGACUGACGCUCAGGUGCGAAAGCGUGGGGAGCAAACAGGAUUAGAUACCCUGGUAGUCCACGCCGUAAACGAUGUCGACUUGGAGGUUGUGCCCUUGAGGCGUGGCUUCCGGAGCUAACGCGUUAAGUCGACCGCCUGGGGAGUACGGCCGCAAGGUUAAAACUCAAAUGAAUUGACGGGGGCCCGCACAAGCGGUGGAGCAUGUGGUUUAAUUCGAUGCAACGCGAAGAACCUUACCUGGUCUUGACAUCCACGGAAGUUUUCAGAGAUGAGAAUGUGCCUUCGGGAACCGUGAGACAGGUGCUGCAUGGCUGUCGUCAGCUCGUGUUGUGAAAUGUUGGGUUAAGUCCCGCAACGAGCGCAACCCUUAUCCUUUGUUGCCAGCGGUCCGGCCGGGAACUCAAAGGAGACUGCCAGUGAUAAACUGGAGGAAGGUGGGGAUGACGUCAAGUCAUCAUGGCCCUUACGACCAGGGCUACACACGUGCUACAAUGGCGCAUACAAAGAGAAGCGACCUCGCGAGAGCAAGCGGACCUCAUAAAGUGCGUCGUAGUCCGGAUUGGAGUCUGCAACUCGACUCCAUGAAGUCGGAAUCGCUAGUAAUCGUGGAUCAGAAUGCCACGGUGAAUACGUUCCCGGGCCUUGUACACACCGCCCGUCACACCAUGGGAGUGGGUUGCAAAAGAAGUAGGUAGCUUAACCUUCGGGAGGGCGCUUACCACUUUGUGAUUCAUGACUGGGGUGAAGUCGAAACAAGGUAACCGUAGGGGAACCUGCGGUUG
RNAcentral lists this ribosomal RNA (1522 nucleotides) under metagenome. RNAcentral's name for it is "bacterial SSU rRNA". It matches the Rfam family "Bacterial small subunit ribosomal RNA". The record is from RNAcentral.